Zingiber officinale is the source of this 1004-nucleotide RNA transcript. It is a transcript of the gene named nuclear transcription factor Y subunit B-3-like, with no coding region annotated. The record is from RefSeq and is a predicted model, not a curated record. The transcript is spliced from 7 exons. NCBI's taxonomy places the organism in Eukaryota, Viridiplantae, Streptophyta, Magnoliopsida, Zingiberales, Zingiberaceae.
GCGACGGACGGUGCAGAUACCCAAUUAUCGUAUUCGAGCUCCGAUCCCAGUCGUCUCCUCCGCCGCCUACUCUCCAGCGUCCGAUCUCCUCUCUUCCCCCCUCCCACAGCCCAUCGCCGCCGCCGCCUGCUCCUCCUCUUCUCCCUCCCUAGGCGCGCCUCGAUUACAAAAUCCUCCCUCCCUCUCUUUCCCUCUCUUUCUCAGUAUCGCGCCCAUGUCGGAAGUCCCGGCAAGUCCUACCGGCGGGGCCGGUGGUGGCGGUAGUCACGAGAGCGGCGGCGACCAGAGCCCCCGAUCCAGCGUCCGGGAGCAGGACCGCUUUCUCCCCAUCGCUAACAUCAGCAGGAUCAUGAAAAAGGCGCUUCCUGCCAACGCCAAGAUCGCCAAGGACGCCAAGGAGAUCAUCCAGGAGUGCGUCUCUGAAUUCAUCAGCUUCGUCACCAGCGAGGCUAGUGACAAAUGCCAGAGGGAGAAAAGGAAGACCAUUAAUGGCGACGAUCUGCUCUGGGCGAUGGCCACGCUGGGAUUCGAGGAUUAUAUUGAGCCACUGAAAUUGUAUUUGCAGAAGUACAGAGAGAUGGAGGGUGACAGUAAGGUGUCUGCCAAAGGUGGAGACAACUCUGUUAAGCAAGAUACAACGAGUUCUCACGGUGGAGUUCAGCCUGGUUCAGUCUCUCAAGGGUAGAUAGGUCAUCAAGGAUCUUUUACACAAGGCAUGGGCUAUUUGCAACCUCAGUGACUGGAUCUGAACCUCGUAACAUCUGGAAGUGUGACUUUUAGGCGGAAAAGCUUCGUUGCUUCAUGUUAUCACUAAGCUUUGUAUUUGAUGCUUUAGAUUGUAAAGUAGUAUGAGUUGUAUCAGUCUAAGUUGGGUACGAAAUUCAUCUUUGUUAUACUUGCUGAAUUUUAGGUGGCAACACAUUGCUUUGUAUGAGCCUGUUUCAUUCUUACUUAUCUAUACACUGAUAAGUGGGCUGACUCACCACUUUUUAUUCGUAUUGCAA